RNAcentral lists this ribosomal RNA (443 nucleotides) under uncultured bacterium. RNAcentral describes it as "partial 16S ribosomal RNA". It matches the Rfam family "Bacterial small subunit ribosomal RNA", at positions 338 to 795 of the family's 1533-position model. The record is from RNAcentral.
CCUACGGGAGGCAGCAGUGGGGAAUAUUGGGCAAUGGGCGCAAGCCUGACCCAGCAACGCCGCGUGAAGGAAGAAGGCCCUCGGGUUGUAAACUUCCUUUAUCAGGGACGAAACAAAUGACGGUACCUGAUGAAUAAGCCACGGCUAACUACGUGCCUGCAGCCGCGGUAAUACGUAGGUGGCAAGCGUUAUCCGGAUUUACUGGGUGUAAAGGGCGUGUAGGCGGGUCUGCAAGUCAGUAGUGAAAUCUCAGGGGUCAACCAUGGAACUGCAUUUGAAACUGGAGAUCUUGAGUGAGGGAGAGGCAGGCGGAAUGCCGUGGGUAGCGGUGAAAUGCGUAGAGAUACGGAGGAACACCAGUGGCGAAGGCGGCCUGCUGGACAUUAACUGACGCUGAGGCGCGAAAGCGUGGGGAGCAAACAGGAUUAGAUACCCGGGUAGUC